Molecule: ribosomal RNA, 200 nt
Filed under: uncultured bacterium
Lineage: Bacteria
Description: partial 16S ribosomal RNA
Rfam family: Bacterial small subunit ribosomal RNA
Source: RNAcentral
AACGAACGCUGGCGGCAUGCCUAACACAUGCAAGUCGAACGCCCUGGUUCGCCAGGGAGUGGCGCACGGGUGAGUAACGCGUGGGAACCUGCCCGGCAGUACGGGACAACCGCGGGAAACUGCGGCUAAUACCGUAUACGGCCUGAGGGCGAAAGAAUUUCGCUGUCGGAGGGGCCCGCGUCGGAUUAGGUAGUUGGUGG